Alosa sapidissima (American shad) is the source of this 86-nucleotide long non-coding RNA. RefSeq lists it as uncharacterized. NCBI's taxonomy places the organism in Eukaryota, Metazoa, Chordata, Actinopteri, Clupeiformes, Clupeidae. The record is from RefSeq and is a predicted model, not a curated record. The transcript has 3 exons.
GGCGAAAAGUUGCUCCAUGGAAUCCAGGCUGCUUAGGAGCAUGAAUAAAAUCGCGCACAAGGCAGCAUUGGAAAACCCAGGCUACC